This 492-nucleotide ribosomal RNA is filed under the name uncultured bacterium. RNAcentral's name for it is "partial 16S ribosomal RNA". It matches the Rfam family "Bacterial small subunit ribosomal RNA", at positions 30 to 507 of the family's 1533-position model. The record is from RNAcentral.
AUUGAACGCUGGCGGCAUGCUUUACACAUGCAAGUCGAACGGUAACAGGCCUUCGGGUGCUGACGAGUGGCGAACGGGUGAGUAAUGCAUCGGAACGUGCCCAGAGGUGGGGGAUAACGCAGCGAAAGCUGUGCUAAUACCGCAUGUGAUCUGAGGAUGAAAGCGGGGGACCAGGCAGCAAUGUUUGGCCUCGCGCCUUUGGAGCGGCCGAUGUCAGAUUAGGUAGUUGGUGGGGUAAAGGCCUACCAAGCCGACGAUCUGUAGCUGGUCUGAGAGGACGACCAGCCACACUGGGACUGAGACACGGCCCAGACUCCUACGGGAGGCAGCAGUGGGGAAUUUUGGACAAUGGGCGCAAGCCUGAUCCAGCAAUGCCGCGUGCGGGAAGAAGGCCUUCGGGUUGUAAACCGCUUUUGUACGGAACGAAAAGGCGCUGGCUAAUACCUGGGGCUGAUGACGGUACCGUAAGAAUAAGCACCGGCUAACUACGUG